Molecule: ribosomal RNA, 478 nt
Filed under: uncultured Planctomycetales bacterium
Lineage: Bacteria; Pseudomonadati; Planctomycetota; Planctomycetia; Planctomycetales
Description: bacterial SSU rRNA
Rfam family: Bacterial small subunit ribosomal RNA
Source: RNAcentral
UUUCGCAAUGCCCGAAAGGGUGACGAAGCGACGCCGCGUGGGUGAGGAAGGCCUUCGGGUUGUAAAGCCCUGUCAGGAGUUAAGAAACUUAAGUGCGCUAAUAUCGCAUUUAUUUGACGAAGGCUCCAAAGGAAGCCACGGCUAACUCUGUGCCAGCAGCCGCGGUAAUACAGAGGUGGCAAGCGUUGUUCGGAAUUAUUGGGCGUAAAGAGCACGUAGGUGGGUUUGUAAGUCAGAUGUGAAAGCCUUCUGUUCAACGGAAGAAUUGCAUCUGAAACUGCAGGUCUUGAGUGUAGGAGGGGAGAAUGGAACUUCUGGUGGAGCGGUGAAAUGCGUAGAUAUCAGAAGGAACGCCGGCGGCGAAAGCGAUUCUCUGGCCUAUUACUGACACUCAGUGUGCGAAAGCUAGGGGAGCAAACGGGAUUAGAUACCCCGGUAGUCCUAGCCGUAAACGAUGGGCACUAAGUAGAGGGGUUUU